CGCCAAAACUUGGGGGACAUUAUAGCCUUUCCUUAGUGAUCCAGUCAUUUUGAAUACAGGGAAAGAACAAAACAGUCUCCACCACUCUCCGCGGGAACACGCCACACUCGGCCCGGUAAUCGCACACCGCUGGGAAACGCAACCCACCAACAAACACACCUACUUCCAGCAGGAGUCAGCCCUCCGAACCCGGAAGUGAAUGGGAGAAGGCACGCAGCAUUCUGGGAAGAUUUAAAGGAGCCGGGUUGGUGUGGCUGGCUGUUACCGGGGCAACCAGAGGCGCUUGGCGGUUAUCCGUGGUUUGGCGCCGUUAGCUGGACAGUCUGAGACGCUCAGAGGCCAUGUGGGAUGAGCGAAGAGGGAAGAAGGGCCCUUUCAGGAGACAGUUGUCCUGUCAGGUUAUCUAGUCGUGCCCUAGGCGGGAGCGCCAGCUCUGAGAAUCUGGGUCACGACCCCCUCCUUCUUUCAGCCUUUCGGCCAAAUGAAGUAGCCCAGCGGCUCCUGUCAUUUCUUUACUUUACUUUUCUGCCUCCUCUCAGAAAAUCAACAAAGACAGCAUUGAAGACCUUAAUGUAAAUCAUCUGUAAUGAGUUGAAGAAACAGGGAUGAAGUGGACGCAGCAUGUGAAGACAAUUCUUUCAAGAAGUUUGGCUGUAAAGGAGAAGAGAAAGGGGACACGGGUUCGAGCCCUAAUCCGGGAAGAUCCCACAUCCGCGGAGCAACUAAGCCCGUGCACCAUAACUACUGAGCCUACGCUCUACAGCCUGCGAGCCACAACUACUGAGCCCAUGUGCCACAACUACUGAAGCCCUCAUGCCUAGAGCCCGUGAUUUGCAACAAGAGAAGCCACCGCAAUGAGAAGCCCACACACCGCAAUGAAGAGCAGCCCCCGCUCGCUUCAACUAGAGAAAGCCCACACGCAGCAACGAAGACCCAAC
Lagenorhynchus albirostris (white-beaked dolphin) is the source of this 938-nucleotide long non-coding RNA. RefSeq lists it as uncharacterized. The record is from RefSeq and is a predicted model, not a curated record. Lineage: Eukaryota; Metazoa; Chordata; Mammalia; Artiodactyla; Delphinidae. The transcript is spliced from 3 exons.